RNAcentral lists this ribosomal RNA (450 nucleotides) under uncultured bacterium. Its description in RNAcentral is "partial 16S ribosomal RNA". It matches the Rfam family "Bacterial small subunit ribosomal RNA", at positions 354 to 796 of the family's 1533-position model. The record is from RNAcentral.
GUGGGGAAUCUUGCGCAAUGGGCGCAAGCCUGAUCCAGCAAUGCCGCGUGCAGGAAGAAGGCCUUCGGGUUGUAAACUGCUUUUGUACGGAACGAAACGGUCUGGGUUAAUACCCUGGGCUAAUGACGGUACCGUAAGAAUAAGCACCGGCUAACUACGUGCCAGCAGCCGCGGUAAUACGUAGGGUGCGAGCGUUAAUCGGAAUUACUGGGCGUAAAGCGUGCGCAGGCGGUUUUGUAAGACAGGCGUGAAAUCCCCGGGCUCAACCUGGGAAUGGCGCUUGUGACUGCAAAGCUGGAGUGCGGCAGAGGGGGAUGGAAUUCCGCGUGUAGCAGUGAAAUGCGUAGAUAUGCGGAGGAACACCGAUGGCGAAGGCAAUCCCCUGGGCCUGCACUGACGCUCAUGCACGAAAGCGUGGGGAGCAAACAGGAUUAGAUACCCCAGUAGUCC